Molecule: ribosomal RNA, 468 nt
Filed under: uncultured bacterium
Lineage: Bacteria
Description: partial 16S ribosomal RNA
Rfam family: Bacterial small subunit ribosomal RNA
Source: RNAcentral
GACGAACGCUGGCGGCGUGCUUAACACAUGCAAGUCGAACGGAAAGGCCCUGCUUUUGUGGGCUGCUCGAGUGGAGAACGGGUGAGUAACACGUGAGUAACCUGCACUUCACUUUGGGGUAACUUCAGGCAACUGAGGCUAUUACCGCAUAGGAGCUCCUGCUGCUUGGUGGGGGUUGGAAAGUUUCGGCGUUUGGGGAUGUACUCGCCGCUUAUCAGCUUGAUGGUGUGGUAGUGGCUUACGAAGGCUUUGACGGGUAGCCGGGCUGCGAGGGUGAGCGGCCACAUCGGGACUGAGAUGCGGCCCAGACUCCUACGGGAGGCAGCAGUGGGGAAUGUUGCACAAUGGGCGGAAGCCUGAUGCAGCAACGCCGCGUGCGGGAUGACGGCCUUCGGGUUGUAAAGCGCUUUCGCCUGUGACGAAGCGUUAGUGACGGUAAUGGGUAAAGAAGCACCGGCUAACUACGUG